This 404-nucleotide ribosomal RNA is filed under the name uncultured Nitrosospira sp. Its description in RNAcentral is "bacterial SSU rRNA". It matches the Rfam family "Bacterial small subunit ribosomal RNA", at positions 234 to 630 of the family's 1533-position model. The record is from RNAcentral. Lineage: Bacteria; Pseudomonadati; Pseudomonadota; Betaproteobacteria; Nitrosomonadales; Nitrosomonadaceae.
UGUCUGAUUAGCUAGUUGGUGAGGUAAAGGCUUACCAAGGCUUCGAUCAGUAGCUGGUCUGAGAGGACGACCAGCCACACUGGGACUGAGACACGGCCCAGACUCCUACGGGAGGCAGCAGUGGGGAAUUUUGGACAAUGGGGGAAACCCUGAUCCAGCCAUGCCGCGUGAGUGAAGAAGGCCUUCGGGUUGUAAAGCUCUUUCAGCCGGAACGAAACGGUCACGGCUAAUACCCGUGAUCACUGACGGUACCGGAAGAAGAAGCACCGGCUAACUACGUGCCAGCAGCCGCGGUAAUACGUAGGGUGCGAGCGUUAAUCGGAAUUACUGGGCGUAAAGCGUGCGCAGGCGGUUUUGUAAGUCAGAUGUGAAAUCCCCGGGCUCAACCUGGGAACUGCGUUUGA